Molecule: long non-coding RNA, 369 nt
Filed under: Physcomitrium patens
Lineage: Eukaryota; Viridiplantae; Streptophyta; Bryopsida; Funariales; Funariaceae
Description: long non-coding RNA (PPAT_LNC000675)
Source: RNAcentral
ACAGAUGGGAGUGGGGCUAUGUAGAAUAAGUAGUUAUUUGCUGAAUUGUAGAUACUUAGUUUAUAGUGUAAACAGGGAUAGAUGACUGUUGAAAAGGUAGUUCAGUAGGUAAAAUAGAUGAAUAGUUAGGAAAAGCAGUUUUCAUUAGAGAUGUAGCAGUUGGUAUCUCGUGGUAGCAUAAGGAGGAUGGGAGAGAGGAAGUAAGGGCCAAACUGUGAUAGUGUGAGCCGGAGUAAGCUUGGUGCUACCUCUUUUCUUUUGUUUGUUAUUUUCUUUGAAUAAGAAGAUUAAGAGUUUCUGAAUAUUGUGAAAGUGAAUUAUGGAAUGGAAGUAUGAUUGUUAUUAAAUGAGAAGAAGAAAGAUUGAAUG